UCCCUGGUUGCUCAGAGGGUGAAGCAUCUGCCUACAAUGUGGGAGACCUGGGUUUGAUUCCUGGCUCGGGAA
RNAcentral lists this transfer RNA (72 nucleotides) under Ovis aries (sheep). It matches the Rfam family "tRNA". From Rfam's summary of the family: Transfer RNA (tRNA) molecules are approximately 80 nucleotides in length. Their secondary structure includes four short double-helical elements and three loops (D, anti-codon, and T loops). Lineage: Eukaryota; Metazoa; Chordata; Mammalia; Artiodactyla; Bovidae. The record is from Rfam by way of RNAcentral.